CGUUCCCUGCGGUGUCCGACAGCACGCUAUUAGCAUUUGCCUUGCUCCUGUUGAACGACCCCGGGUCGGCAAAAUGGCUUCCCCAUGUGCAUGUCCGCCACGCGCGGAAAGCCUGAACGGUCGCCUGAGCCCUCCCACCUGAUCCCUGGGAUCAAGGUCGCCUGGCGGGCACCGGCACCGCGGAGAACGC
Molecule: non-coding RNA, 190 nt
Filed under: Metallibacterium scheffleri
Lineage: Bacteria; Pseudomonadati; Pseudomonadota; Gammaproteobacteria; Lysobacterales; Rhodanobacteraceae
Also listed under: 1 other name
Description: 6S RNA
Rfam family: 6S / SsrS RNA
About the family: E. coli 6S RNA was the first non coding RNA to be sequenced, but its function was unknown until recently. It consists of 184 nucleotides that fold into an extended hairpin structure with a large single-stranded internal bulge.
Source: RNAcentral